AAGGCAUGAUACGGGCACUUCCUAAGCUGUUCUUUAAAUCACCCUCAAGUUUUAUAUAUUAUUUCUCCAUCUAAUUGAGUGAAUGAAGUGAUGUAAUUCCUAAGUUU
Small nucleolar RNA from Dendrobium catenatum, 107 nucleotides. The record is from RefSeq and is a predicted model, not a curated record. NCBI's taxonomy places the organism in Eukaryota, Viridiplantae, Streptophyta, Magnoliopsida, Asparagales, Orchidaceae.